GGGUGGGCACUCUAAGGAGACUGCCGGUGACAAACCGGAGGAAGGUGGGGAUGACGUCAAGUCAUCAUGGCCCUUACGGCCAGGGCUACACACGUGCUACAAUGGUCGGUACAGAGGGUUGCCAAGCCGCGAGGUGGAGCUAAUCCCAUAAAACCGAUCGUAGUCCGGAUCGCAGUCUGCAACUCCCCUGCGUGAAGUCGGAGAUGCUAGUAAUCGUGAAUCAGAAUGUCACGGUGAAUACGUUCCCGGGCCUUGUACACACCGCCCGUCACACCAUGGGAGUGGGUUGCUCCAGAAGUAGCUAGUCUAACCGCAAGGGGGACGGUUACCACGGAGUGAUUCAUGACUGGGGUGAAGUCGUAACAAGUCAGCCGUAGGGGAACCUGCGGCUGGAUCACCUCCGUAAGCUUGGAUCCCGGG
This 420-nucleotide ribosomal RNA is filed under the name uncultured Pseudomonadaceae bacterium. RNAcentral describes it as "bacterial SSU rRNA". It matches the Rfam family "Bacterial small subunit ribosomal RNA", at positions 1129 to 1533 of the family's 1533-position model. The record is from RNAcentral. Lineage: Bacteria; Pseudomonadati; Pseudomonadota; Gammaproteobacteria; Pseudomonadales; Pseudomonadaceae.